UCUCCGUAGGUGAACCUGCGGAGGGAUCAUUACAGAGUUCAUGCCCUACCGGGUAGAUCUCCCACCCUAUGUUAUUAUUACUUUAUUGCUUUGGCGGGCCGUUAGGCUCCGGCCCGACUACCGGCCCCGGCUGGUAAGCGCCCGCCAGAGGACCCAAAACCCUGAAUAUUAGUGUCGUCUGAGUACUAUAUAAUAGUUAAAACUUUCAACAACGGAUCUCUUGGUUCUG
RNAcentral lists this unclassified non-coding RNA (229 nucleotides) under plant metagenome. RNAcentral describes it as "partial contains small subunit ribosomal RNA, internal transcribed spacer 1, and 5.8S ribosomal RNA". The record is from RNAcentral.